RNAcentral lists this unclassified non-coding RNA (263 nucleotides) under plant metagenome. Its description in RNAcentral is "partial contains small subunit ribosomal RNA, internal transcribed spacer 1, and 5.8S ribosomal RNA". The record is from RNAcentral.
UUUCCGUAGGUGAACCUGCGGAAGGAUCAUUAUUGUAUAACCGAGGUGCGAGGGCUGUCGCUGACCCGAAAGGUCGUGCACGCCCGAGUGCCCUCACGCACAUCCAUCUUACCCCUAUGUGCACCACCGCGUGGGUCCCCCUUUGGCUUGUUCGGAGGGGGGCUUACGUUUUCACACAAACUUUGUAUGCAGUGUAGAAUGUAUUUUUUGUUUUUGCGAUCACGCAAUCAAUACAACUUUCAACAACGGAUCUCUUGGCUCUC